RNAcentral lists this ribosomal RNA (229 nucleotides) under uncultured archaeon. RNAcentral describes it as "partial 16S ribosomal RNA". It matches the Rfam family "Archaeal small subunit ribosomal RNA", at positions 248 to 473 of the family's 1478-position model. The record is from RNAcentral.
ACCACCACACGUAACAACGGGUCCGGACAAUGGGACUCGGAACCCUGACAUCGUGACUGACACAAGGCCCCAGGCCCUACGGGGCGCAGCAGGCGCGAAAACUCCGCAAUGCGCGCAAGCGUGACGGGGGAACCCCAAGUGCCGUUGGUCUUUUGAUCGACGGCUUUUCGGAAGUUCAAUACGCUUCGGAAUAAGGGCUGGGUAAGGCUGGUGCCAGCCGCCGCGGUAA